This 301-nucleotide ribosomal RNA is filed under the name uncultured bacterium. Its description in RNAcentral is "partial 16S ribosomal RNA". It matches the Rfam family "Bacterial small subunit ribosomal RNA", at positions 509 to 807 of the family's 1533-position model. The record is from RNAcentral.
CAGCCGCCGCGGUAAAACAGAGGGUGCGAGCGUUAAUCGGAUUUACUGGGCGUAAAGCGUGCGUAGGCGGCUUCUUAAGUCGGAUGUGAAAUCCCUGAGCUUAACUUAGGAAUUGCAUUCGAUACUGGGAAGCUAGAGUAUGGGAGAGGAUGGUAGAAUUCCAGGUGUAGCGGUGAAAUGCGUAGAGAUCUGGAGGAAUACCGAUGGCGAAGGCAGCCAUCUGGCCUAAUACUGACGCUGAGGUACGAAAGCAUGGGGAGCAAACAGGAUUAGAUACCCCGGUAGUCCCUGUCUCUUAUAC